Molecule: ribosomal RNA, 468 nt
Filed under: uncultured bacterium
Lineage: Bacteria
Description: partial 16S ribosomal RNA
Rfam family: Bacterial small subunit ribosomal RNA
Source: RNAcentral
GACGAACGCUGGCGGCGUGCUUAACACAUGCAAGUCGAACGGAAAGGCCCUGCUUUUGUGGGGUGCUCGAGUGGCGAACGGGUGAGUAACACGUGAGUAACCUGCCCUUGACUUUGGGAUAACUUCAGGAAACUGGGGCUAAUACCGGAUAGGAGCUCCUGCGGCAUGGUGGGGGUUGGAAAGUUUCGGCGGUUGGGGAUGGACUCGCGGCUUAUCAGCUUGUUGGUGGGGUAGUGGCUUACCAAGGCUUUGACGGGUAGCCGGCCUGAGAGGGUGACCGGCGACAUUGGGACUGAGAGACGGCCCAGACUCCUACGGGAGGCAGCAGUGGGGAAUAUUGCACAAUGGGCGGAAGCCUGAUGCAGCAACGCCGCGUGCGGGAUGACGGCCUUCGGGUUGUAAACCGCUUUCGCCUGUGACGAAGCGUGAGUGACGGUAAUGGGUAAAGAAGCACCGGCUAACUACGUG